CGGGGAUUCAGCAGCCUCCCCAAUCUAAGACGAUUCUCGUCCAAGGUCUGC
Molecule: non-coding RNA, 51 nt
Organism: Nitrosomonas sp. AL212
Lineage: Bacteria; Pseudomonadati; Pseudomonadota; Betaproteobacteria; Nitrosomonadales; Nitrosomonadaceae
Source: Rfam